This 72-nucleotide transfer RNA is filed under the name Stegodyphus mimosarum. It matches the Rfam family "tRNA". From Rfam's summary of the family: Transfer RNA (tRNA) molecules are approximately 80 nucleotides in length. Their secondary structure includes four short double-helical elements and three loops (D, anti-codon, and T loops). Further hydrogen bonds mediate the characteristic L-shaped molecular structure. tRNAs have two regions of fundamental functional importance: the anti-codon, which is responsible for specific mRNA codon recognition, and the 3' end, to which the tRNAs corresponding amino acid is attached (by aminoacyl-tRNA synthetases). tRNAs cope with the degeneracy of the genetic code in two manners: having more than one tRNA (with a specific anti-codon) for a particular amino acid; and 'wobble' base-pairing, i.e. permitting non-standard base-pairing at the 3rd anti-codon position. The record is from Rfam by way of RNAcentral. Lineage: Eukaryota; Metazoa; Arthropoda; Arachnida; Araneae; Eresidae.
GCCUUUGUGGUGCAAAGAUUAGCACACUUGGCGCGUAAUCGAGAGGUUCAGGUUCGAGUCCCAGCAAAGGCA